CGGACGCGGGGGCCCCGGGCCUUCCGGGCGUGACCUAGGGCUCGGGGGCGGGGAGGCCCCUCCGGCGGGGCGGCCCUGGGUGGUCCGGCAGAGGCGGAGGCCGCUCCGAGCCUGUGAGCCCUGGGCGCCUGCGGAGGCGGGGAGAGGGCGGGGUGUGCCGCCCUGGUGGGGACCGCGGGGUCGGAGAGGGGACAUUGCCCCCCCCGAGGCGAACGUCCAACCGCGGGUCCGGGUCCCCGCCCAAGGCCGCCCCGCGAGGUGGCCUCGGCCCGGCCGUCCCCGAGGGUGGCUCGGAUCCUUUCAACCAGCGCGCUGGAGGCGAAGGGGCUGCGCCAUUCCGGGUCAGGCAGCCAACGCGGGACACGCGCGUCUCCGAGCUUGCGGCCCGCGAAACCCGGGUGACCUACCGCGCCGGUGCCCUCAAAGCCCCCACGCCCGGGCCGGUGGCCGCUGCAGCCACUGAGCCACGCGGUCUCCCCGGCCCGGUCGGCAGAAGGAGCUGGUCCGUUACUAGAAAAGUCCAGAUGCAAAGUCGGGGGUCGUGCUGCCGCUUCCUGCCAGCGCACCGCACCCACCUGGGGCCGCCACCGACCGCACAGGACGCGCCUCCUACCCCCUGUUCUGGCCCGGCCGAGAGCUGGUGCCCCCAGCGGCCGCCCGCCCCCGUCCGCAGACCCCGGGGCCCUUGCUGCUUUGCAUUGGGAACAACCGGAGCCAGGCCCGGAGCUGAGGGGGCCAGGGCCUUUGGAGGAAGCAUUGGCCUCCAGGCUGAAGAGCAAGGGCCGUGUCACCUGCCCGGAGGGCGGUCUCAUCUCUGCAGCCAGGAGCAGUGCUUUCUGGGCCUCUGUAGCCAGAGCUGGCCCUGCUGCAGCUUACGUCUGCCUGCAGCCCAGACGUCCUCCUGGUCCUCCUGAUGCCCCCGACCUCCACGGAGGACGAGCAUUUCCAGCCCAGCCCUCCCCAUCUUCACCUCGCACUCCCCUGACACACUGGGAGCCUCCUGAUCCGUGAACCCGCGCUGGCGGGAGUAGCUACUGACCGCUGGGGACCCCUGCCCAGGCUGUUCGCAUGUGGAAAGGAUUCAGGGAGCAGGCGAUGCCCAAAGCGUGGAGACCAGCACUGCUCUCUCCCCAGUGACAGGUGCACGCCCAGAUCACGGAUGUGUCGGGAACAGCUGUGCUCCUGCUGCUCAGCGUCCGUCACUCCAGGCUGGGAGCGGGUCCCCAAGCUUCUGGCUGGGCCUAUCCGUCUCCACUCUCAGUGUGGGGGUGGGGGGCGCCAACAGCACGCAUUUGCUCUCUGCACUUCUCGUCUGAUAAUGGGCAGAGGGUCCUUCUGCAGCCCCAAAACAUCCCUAGGCAGGAGCCCUGGGGCCCCAAGCAGCCAGGGAGGUGAGCACCAAGGACCUCCCAGAGAGCGUCACCUUCCGUCGAGGGAGGCCCAGCCUGGGGGCGGUGUCUGAGACUUGGAAUCAACGCUUCCGUUGGUGGCAGUAAAUCCUGUCCCUAACCCUGCAGUACAGCUGUGCCGUGUACAGGAGGGUGCUGUCUGACGCCAGACACCUGGACUACAGAUCGCAGCCUGAUUCCUGGUCAUUGCUCCACUGAACCCCAGACCCCAGCCUCGUUCUGGGCCCUCAUCCCCUAGAUCCAGGGACCCCAGCCCCAUUUCAGCCCUUGGGCCCUUGUAGGAUGCGAGGCCCUGGGCCCCAGCCCCCAGCCCAUCCGUGGCCCAGGCACUGGGGGGCUGAGGUCCUCUGAGAAGGGACACAGGGCCUGGGGGGCUCUCUCAGCCCAUCAGCAGGAGAGGACUGACUCCAGAAAAAUCAGCGUUUGUACCCACUCAGGCUGCCAAGACCUGUGUCCGUCCUUCCAAGCUCAACCUUCAGAGUUCAUGAGGCCCCUUGCCCAGAAUGUCCACAGAGUUCAUGAGGCCCCUUGCCCGGAAUGUCCACAUUUGAAACCUCCCAACACCGAGCCCCAUUUCAAGUAUAACCAGGAGGGAAAAUGGUGCUUGAAAUAAGCAUGCCACAAAGGAAAACCUGCUUUCUCGAAAUGGGCCCUGGCCGCCCAGGCCCUGACCUCCCCGGCCAGGAUGGAACGUUCCAGAGACCCAUUAGUGCCAAAGGCAAAUGAAAACACACCC
Homo sapiens (human) is the source of this 2145-nucleotide long non-coding RNA. Ensembl annotates it as cytoplasmic endogenous regulator of oxidative phosphorylation 1. Its record names the gene CEROX1. The record is from Ensembl. NCBI's taxonomy places the organism in Eukaryota, Metazoa, Chordata, Mammalia, Primates, Hominidae.